UACGUAGGGCGCAAGCGUUGUCCGGAAUUAUUGGGCGUAAAGAGCUCGUAGGCGGCCUGUCGCGUCCGCUGUGAAAUCCCGGGGCUUAACCCCGGGCGUGCAGUGGAUACGGGCUGGCUAGAGGCAGGCAGGGGAGAACGGAAUUCCCGGUGUAGCGGUGAAAUGCGCAGAUAUCGGGAGGAACACCGGUGGCGAAGGCGGUUCUCUGGGCCUGUUCUGACGCUGAGGAGCGAAAGCGUGGGGAGCAAACGGG
This 253-nucleotide ribosomal RNA is filed under the name uncultured bacterium. Its description in RNAcentral is "partial 16S ribosomal RNA". It matches the Rfam family "Bacterial small subunit ribosomal RNA", at positions 524 to 776 of the family's 1533-position model. The record is from RNAcentral.